GAUGAACGCUGGCGGCGUGCCUAAUACAUGCAAGUCGAGCGAACAGACGAGGAGCUUGCUCCUCUGACGUUAGCGGCUGACGGGUGAGUAACACGUGGAUAACCUACCUAUAAGACUGGGAUAACUUCGGGAAACCGGAGCUAAUACCGGAUAAUAUAUUGAACCGCAUGGUUCAAUAGUGAAAGACGUGUUUGCUGUCACUUUUAGAUGGAUCCGCGCCGCAUUAGCUAGUUGGUAAGGUAACGGCUUACCAAGGCAACGAUGCGUAGCCGACCUGAGAGGGUGAUCGGCCACCCUGGAACUGAGACACGGGCCAGACUCCUACGGGAGGCAGCAGUAGGGAAUCUUCCGCAAUGGGCGAAAGCCUGACGGAGCAACGCCGCGUGAGUGAUGAGGGUCUUCGGAUCGUAAAACUCUGUUAUUAGGGAAGAACAAAUGUGUAAGUAACUAUGCACGUCUUGACGGUACCUAAUCAGAAAGCCACGGCUAACUACGUG
This 497-nucleotide ribosomal RNA is filed under the name uncultured bacterium. RNAcentral's name for it is "partial 16S ribosomal RNA". It matches the Rfam family "Bacterial small subunit ribosomal RNA", at positions 28 to 507 of the family's 1533-position model. The record is from RNAcentral.